RNAcentral lists this transfer RNA (66 nucleotides) under Libiocoris heissi. RNAcentral's name for it is "tRNA-Asn". Lineage: Eukaryota; Metazoa; Arthropoda; Insecta; Hemiptera; Aradidae. The record is from RNAcentral.
UUAAUUGAAGCCAAAGAAGAGGCCCUUCAUUGUUAAUGAAGAAAAUGACUCAUAAGUCCUAUUAAA